Long non-coding RNA from Mus musculus (house mouse), 1936 nucleotides. RefSeq annotates it as predicted gene, 35218. NCBI's taxonomy places the organism in Eukaryota, Metazoa, Chordata, Mammalia, Rodentia, Muridae. The record is from RefSeq and is a predicted model, not a curated record. The transcript has 7 exons.
GGGGGUAGGGGAACCGUGUCAGAACUGUCUGUCUGAGAAACUUUCUCUUAGAUCACCAGUCAGUAGGGUACCAGCAUCUGCCGAUGCCAACCAAAAGGCAUGAGUCACAGCGGACAGCUUUAGAAAACACAUUUCCUUCCACUGUUAGCAAUGCAUGACUCACUAGACCUCUCCAGAUUCUCCACUCCACAAAUGACUCGAGAAGUCUACCAAGGACAGAGCACAAACCUUUCUCUCUUCUCCUGCCAGGAUUUCUCAUUUCAAUUAUCACUGACUUGUUGACUUACUUCAAAGACAGUAUACAUCUUGGUCUGUUCUCUGUCCUCUCUCAAAAACUGGUGGUGUGUGAUUUACCUAAAGAUGGCUCCUGAAGGGCUGCAGGAGAACAGAGAUUGAACAUUAUAGUUCAUGCCCAAAGCAGUCGUCAACUGGUCAACUUUUGCUACUUCGGAAACUGAGCUGUGAGACUUUAAAUACUUGGUGCUACAUUUGAAUCCUGAAUACCUGAGUGCAACCCCCAGCCAGCUGGAAUAGAGACUUUCAAUGGCUGUAAACUCUGAGUGGUCUCCUCUGUGUUUCCUCGGAACCUUGGAGGAAGAAUUUGACACAGAUGCGCUCAGUUACUUCUUCUGAGGAUGUUGAACAGUUAUGAGUCUCUUCAUUAACCACCACCUUCUGCACUAAGAAGUUUCUCUGACCAAGGUUGAGAGCAGUGCUGAUGUGUUGAUAAAAGCCCAGUGGCGAGCUUGGCUCAGAAACAUUUUAAAAUCAGCUGAAUGGGUCUGAUGUCCAGUGUACGUGAGCACAAGGGACAGGUCACAGAAGGUCUAGACAGAAAGAUAGCUCUGGCUUCUGUUAGUGUGAUAAAAGGGGGUGGAGAGAUGGGAGAUAGCAUCCAUACGACAGAGCAGCUAGCUGAAAACAGGAUAUGGGAAGCCUGAAAAGACUGUUUACAAGUGAUUUAUGGGUCAAGUGCUUUUUUGUGGAACAACAACAACAACAAAAAAGUGGAUCCUGGCUAUGGAUGAAACUAUCGUAUAUUGGACAUUGAUUCAAAGCAUAUACUGCCUUCUGGGGAACCCUGUCCCAGCCCUACAGUCGAAUUGGAGAUGAAACUGCGUCUUCAAAAGAUCAUUCCAUUUUUCUAUCAAGCCAGCUGACUCAGGAUGGUGGGAAACAUGUUAUAGGUUCAUCACAUGAUCAUUAAGACAAGUUAGAGUCCCGGCACAUCAUCCUGUCCCACAGAGGAGAAAUUUGUGUGAACAAUGUGGGUGUCUGAGUGUUACUUGAGGGCUCUGCUUCCUACCUGUGACUGCCAUGUGACCAGCAGCCUCCAGCUCCUGCUGCCUUCACUCCUGCCAUGGUGAUAAACUGAAGCAGAAGUGGAAGAGGAACCUGGAAGAAAUCCUAUCUUCCCAAGUUGCUUCUGCCAUAGCAACCUGAGAAGAAAUUGGGACGCCCUCCACCAUAUAAUUCAACUGUAAUUUGCUUGCACAGUGCCCUUCUUCAGAAGAAAGAGAAUAAAGUUAGGCUUUUGUCUUUAUUUUUCUGGCUUGAGUUUAGAUGUCAGAUAUUCCCCAUGCAGAUUAAAAACACUUGCCAGGUUAUCAGGCUAGUCAAGGUAAAUGCUUACACGUGACUUAUUUGGUAGCAAAAUAAAUGACAUAGCUUCUUUGAAUCCAUCAGUGACAAAAUGAAGCCAUUUACCAAACACUGUAUCCGACAGUCUGUGAUACUGGACUGAAAUUCAAUCACCAUCUGUGUUAUGAUUCAUGACAAUGAUAAAAACAGAGACUGUUAGACUGUUUUCAAAAUACUAAGUAUACAAAAAACUAAAUGUGGCAUUUGUUACACUUUAUUAUUUGAAUGUAUUUUGAGUGUAUUGACCCUGGAAAUGCAUUGUGGUUUCCGGAAUAAAGUUUUUUCUUUAAUCUGA